This 83-nucleotide transfer RNA is filed under the name Candidatus Heimdallarchaeota archaeon. RNAcentral describes it as "tRNA-Ser". It matches the Rfam family "tRNA". Rfam says of the family: Transfer RNA (tRNA) molecules are approximately 80 nucleotides in length. Their secondary structure includes four short double-helical elements and three loops (D, anti-codon, and T loops). Further hydrogen bonds mediate the characteristic L-shaped molecular structure. tRNAs have two regions of fundamental functional importance: the anti-codon, which is responsible for specific mRNA codon recognition, and the 3' end, to which the tRNAs corresponding amino acid is attached (by aminoacyl-tRNA synthetases). tRNAs cope with the degeneracy of the genetic code in two manners: having more than one tRNA (with a specific anti-codon) for a particular amino acid; and 'wobble' base-pairing, i.e. permitting non-standard base-pairing at the 3rd anti-codon position. The record is from RNAcentral. Lineage: Archaea; Promethearchaeati; Candidatus Heimdallarchaeota. RNAcentral also lists the same sequence under 3 other names.
GUCGGGAUAUCCAAGCCUGGUAUGGAGCUGGACUGCUAAUCCAGUGCUCUAUGAGCUCGGGGGUUCAAAUCCCCCUCCCGACG